AAUGGAAGGGCCAUCGCUCAACGGAUAAAAGGUACUCCGGGGAUAACAGGCUGAUACCGCCCAAGAGUUCAUAUCGACGGCGGUGUUUGGCACCUCGAUGUCGGCUCAUCACAUCCUGGGGCUGAAGUAGGUCCCAAGGGUAUGGCUGUUCGCCAUUUAAAGUGGUACGCGAGCUGGGUUUAGAACGUCGUGAGACAGUUCGGUCCCUAUCUGCCGUGGGCGCUGGAGAACUGAGGGGGGCUGCUCCUAGUACGAGAGGACCGGAGUGGACGCAUCACUGGUGUUCGGGUUGUCAUGCCAAUGGCACUGCCCGGUAGCUAAAUGCGGAAGAGAUAAGUGCUGAAAGCAUCUAAGCACGAAACUUGCCCCGAGAUGAGUUCUCCCUGAGACUUUAGGUCUCCUGAAGGAACGUUGAAGACGACGACGUUGAUAGGCCGGGUGUGUAAGCGCAGCGAUGCGUUGAGCUAACCGGUACUAAUGAACCGUGAGGCUUAACCUUACA
RNAcentral lists this ribosomal RNA (502 nucleotides) under Salmonella enterica. RNAcentral's name for it is "partial 23S ribosomal RNA". It matches the Rfam family "Bacterial large subunit ribosomal RNA", at positions 2432 to 2925 of the family's 2925-position model. The record is from RNAcentral. Lineage: Bacteria; Pseudomonadati; Pseudomonadota; Gammaproteobacteria; Enterobacterales; Enterobacteriaceae.